RNAcentral lists this ribosomal RNA (253 nucleotides) under uncultured bacterium. Its description in RNAcentral is "partial 16S ribosomal RNA". It matches the Rfam family "Bacterial small subunit ribosomal RNA", at positions 524 to 776 of the family's 1533-position model. The record is from RNAcentral.
UACGGAGGGUGCAAGCGUUAUCCGGAUUCACUGGGUUUAAAGGGUGCGUAGGCGGGCUAUUAAGUCAGUGGUGAAAGCCCCAAGCUUAACUUGGGAACUGCCAUUGAUACUGAUGGUCUUGAGUACAUUUGAGGUGGGCGGAAUGUGUCAUGUAGCGGUGAAAUGCUUAGACAUGACACAGAACACCGAUUGCGAAGGCAGCUCACUAAACUGUAACUGACGCUGAGGCGCGAAAGCGUGGGGAGCAAACAGG